Molecule: long non-coding RNA, 5650 nt
Filed under: Sus scrofa (pig)
Lineage: Eukaryota; Metazoa; Chordata; Mammalia; Artiodactyla; Suidae
Description: lncRNA (ENSSSCG00060066095.1)
Source: RNAcentral
AGCCUCACCUACAGCAUAUGGAAGUUCCCAGGCUAGGGGUUGAAUCAGAGCUGCAACUGCAGGCUACACCACAGCCACAGCAAUGCCAGAUCCAAGCUGCAUCCAUGACCUAUGCCGCAGCUUGUGGCAAUGCCAGAUCCUUAACCCAUUAAGCAAGGCCAGGAAUCCAACCGUCAUCCUUAUAGAUACUAGUUGGGUUCCUAACCUGCUGAGCCACAAUGGGAACUCCAAAUCUUUUUCUUUCACUUUUUACUGCCCUCAAUUUUUCAUACUCUUCUGUCUUAGGAGGAUUCCCAAGCUUGUAUUUAUUUAUUUAUUUAUAUUAUUUUAUUUUAUUUUGUCUUUUUAAGACAGCACCUGCAACACAUGGAAGUUCCCAGGCUAGGAGUUGAAUUAGAGCUGUAGCUGCUGGCCUACACCACAGCCACAGACGCGGGAUCUGAGCCAUGUCUGUAACCAACAACACAGCUCAUGGCAAUGCUGGAUACUUAACCCACUGAGCAAGGCCAGGGAUCAAACUUAUGUCCUCAUGGAUGCUAGUCAGAUUUGUUUCUGCUGGGCCAUGAAGGGAACUCCACCUCCUGCUUCAAUUUACCCUGCUACAGGGUAAAAUUAGUAAGUUAUCUAGACAGACAAGUAUAGCAUAAAGUUCAGAAGGGAAGAUAGGCUGACUUGCAAAGGUACAGCUCCCUAAGCACAGGCCUCCUUGGGUUUGCUACUUAAUUUCUGAGUCUUGAUUAUGUUAUAUUUACCCUUUACUUUCUCUGUGUCUCAACUUAUUCGUAAAAAAGGAAAUAAAAUACAACAUAAUAGUUAUUUCCAAAUUAAGUGAAUAAAUGUAGAGAGUUGUUGGGUAUAAGAUAUUAUAUAACAUUAAGAUACAAUUUUAAUGCAAUUAUUAUAAUAAUCAAGAGUUUCUAAUGGAGAUAAGGUGUGCAGGCUAUUUGUAUCAUUUGGCCCUUAAUUACUGAGCUCCUGACUAUAUGUUGAGCUCCUCACUGGGUGCUUAUGCAUGAUUUCUACAGCAGCCCUGAAAUGCAGCAUCACGUCUCUAUUUUAUAAGUAACUGGAAUAUAUUCAGAGAAGUGAUAUUCUCAAAGUCCCACAUAGAAAGUGACAAAGUCAGAUGUCGGCUCUAGGCCUAGUCUGCCUAAUUCCAAAAUCUGUGCCCAGUCCCUCACCCACAAAGAUAAUAGUGAGGUGGCCAGGGUGAGGACCCUUAGCUGAGCAGUCCUGGACCCCAGGCAAGUCCAGGGAAUAUUUUUAAGCUGAGUGUUCCCAUCCAUAAGAUUAUACUGGAUAAUCUUUAGGAACCCAGCAAAGUAAUUUCCCAGAAUGAGUGAAGAUUCUGGGAUCUGUAUUUUUUUAAAGUGUGGUCUGUUUUUGCAAUGUCAGUUUUCUAAUUAAAUCCUUUACUAUGCUUAGAUUAGUCACUAUCACGCAAGUAAUGACGUCAACAAAGAGAAGGAAUUUCCUUAGGUCCACAAUGGCAAGAGAAAGCUGCGUAGAGCAGUAACGUCUGUUUUGCUCUUUCAUUUUGUUCACUAAAUGUGUUAAGUCUUCCCAAAAGAGUGUAAUUAUAUGCCACAACAGAGAGUGCAAUAUAUUUUCUUGUACUUAGAUUGUCUGUCUCAGGUAUUUUUUAAGAAUUAUUUAGUACCUAUUUUUAAUAUCAAGGAAUUAUUUUCAAAUUAUUUGCUCAUUUCUAUAUUAAAUAUGGAUAGGAGUUCCCUAAUGGCAUAGUGAUUAAGUGUCCAACAUUGUCACACUAUAGCUUGGGUUAUUGCUGUGGCUCGGGUUCAGUCUCUGGUCUGGGAACUUCUCUAUGCCUCAUGUGCAACCAAAAAACAAAUGAAAAAAAUACAUGGAUUGAUAAGCUUGAUUUAACUCUUUAUUCCUAUACAAAAAACAUGAAUGUCCUCCAGCAUUAAAAGAAAUGAAAAAGAAUGUAUAUUCUUUCAUUAUUUUGGACAUCUGGUCUUAAGAGUCAAUAUUAUCUGGACUCUGUCAAGCCUCUUUCAGUCACUAAGAUCCCCCCUUUAGAUAGGAAUGUUGUCUUAUAUUGUCUAAAAGCCAUAUUACAAACUUCUUGCCAUUUAUUUUUAUUAAUGCAAAGCCAUUUAUUAGAUUUAAUGAACAUACAAGGAUUCAUAUUCAGAAUUGAGGAUGGCUAAGGAGAUUCCAGCAUAGAUUACUUUACAAGUAUUUCAAAACAUAAAUUUAAAAUGGAAAAUUGAAAUGAGAAAUUUUACUUCUUUUUGAUUAAAAAUGAAAAUUAAUAAUAGGUAUAAAUUAAAACACUAAAUAAAUAAAUCAAUAUAUAAGUCUCUGAUCCCUACGGCAUCUUUACAAUUCAUGAAACAUCUGCCAAUUUUGUGAUAUAGCCCUAAUAUCUUCAGAACUCUCACAUUAACAAAAUUAGUAUACUGCAUUUGAAGUAACACAUGAAAUUCUAUGCAAUAAAACAUUACAUUGAUUGAUUGUGAUACUUAACAGUGCUUAACACUUAUUUAGCACUUUAUAUCUUCAAAGCACUUCACAAACAUUAACUAAUUAAUCAUCAUGUCACUGCAAUGUCAGGGAGGUGGUGGAAUUCCCAUUUCUGAGAUGAAGGAAUUAAAUAAAGUGGCUUAUGGCAGUGAAAGACUUCAGAAAGUCUAAAUAUCAAUACCUCAGGAAAGUUUCAAAUAAGAGACUAGAACAGGGAAUUGACUGUGUAUAUAUGAUAUAAAGAAAGCAGUGCAAGUUAAUAUCAUAUUACAAUCCUAGACACUUUUCACCUAUGGCACUUAGAAGAAGAAUAAAUGGCCAUUGCCAACAAACCAUGUUUCCUUUCUAACCUUUGCUAUUCUCAAAAGCUAUUAUCUAAUUAAUUUUGCCUAAUAUUUACACUUUUUUCAUAAUUAAAAACUUGUGAAUUUAAAAAGAAAAUUGUUUAGAAAUUUUCCAUUUUUCAUCAAUAAUCAUGUUAAGGAAAAAAAAUCAACUGCUGGAAAUCUUCAAAAAAUUGUUUAGGAGUUUCCAUCAUGACUCAGUGGUUAACGAACCCAACUAGUAUCCAUGAGGAUGUGGGUUCGAUCCCUGGCCUCGUUCAUUGGGUUAAGGAUCCAGCAUUGCCGUGAGCUGUGGUGUCAAUUGCAGGUGUGGCUCAGAUCUUACGUUGCUGUGGCUGUGGCGUAGGCCAGCAGCUAGAGCUCCAAUUCGACCCUUAACCUGGGAACCUUCAUAUGCCAUGGGUGUGGCCCUAAAAAGACAAAAGACGAAAAAAAAUUAUUGAAAAAGCAACAAUAUUAACAAAUUUAAAUAAUUUUGAGUAAUAAUUUUCAAAAAUAUUAUCAAUAAAAGUUCUAAGUCUCUUAAAGAAUGCUAUUCAGAAAGUGUCACUAUUUAAACUUUCCUGAAGAUUUUUAUCUGACCCAUGAUACAGUACUAUUGAUCCGACUUACACUGAAAUUCAUACUAUGUAGACUCCAAAAGUACAAACAUUUGGUUGAAGUAUAACAUAGAUACAGAAAGGACUGAAAAUUAUAUAGUUUAACAAAUUUUACAAAGUAAGCACAACUGGGAAACCACCAGAUAGAUCAUGAAACAGAACUCCAGACAUUCCCAUGUCCCACCUCCAAGUCACUGACUUCCAAAGGUAAUCUCUCCUACGACUCCUAUCUCCACCAAUAUUUUGUCUGUUCUUAAACUUUACAAUAAUGUACUUAUGCAGUAUAUAUUACAUUUACUCUUUUGUGAUUAUUUUUGUAGGUUUUUUUUUUUAACAAGGAUCAUCCAUGGUGUUAGAGGCAGCAGUAUUUACUUUCACUGCCAUAUAGUAUUACUUUGACAUGUGUGUACAUGUGACUGUGGGUCUAUACACACACCACCGUUUACUUGAUUGAGUCUACUGUUGAUGGACUUUUGUUCCACUUUAGAACCAUCACAUUAGUGCUAUUAUGAGCAUUUUUGUACAUAUGUUUUGGUGCACAUAUGCGUAAAUUUCUAUUUAAAUAUAGGUGCAGAAUUUUUGCAUUAUAGGGAGUGCCAAGCAAUUUUUCAAAAUUAUUCUUCCAUUUCAUGUUCCCACCAACAAUGUUAAGAGAAUUCCUUUGCUCCACAGUCUCUCCAAACUUGUAUAAAUAAAUUUUUACUGGAACAUAGGCAUACAUAUUAGUCUAAUAUUAUCUAUGGCUGAUUUCAUGCUAUGGCCACAAAGACAAAGAAUUAUGACACAGAUCAUAUGGCUCGUGUAUUAGUUUCCUUGGGCUGCCAUGACAAACUAUCACAAACUGGUGGGCUCAUAACAACAAAAUUUAUUCUCUUGUAGUUCUAGAAGCCAGAAGCCAUAAACCAAAGUGUUGACAGAGGAGUAAUUCCUCUGGAAGCUCUAAGAAGGGGCGCUUUCCUUGCCCCUUCUAGUUUUGGUAGCUGUUAGCAUUCCUUAACUUCUUUGGCUUGUGCCUACAACAUACCAAUCCCUGCCUCAGCUUCACAUGAAUUUCUCUGUAUGUCUGUUCUCCUCUGUGUGUCUCUUAUAAGGAAACAUUGUAUAUAGGUACCUUCAAUAAUCCAGAGUUCUCAAUUUAAUCAUAUCUGAAAAGACCCUUUUCCCAUAUAAGGUAAUAUUCACAAGUCCCGAAAUUUAUACAGAUAUCUCAAAUGGGAUAUUGUUCAGCCCAUCAUACUCCAUUAUAUUUAUUUACUGUCUUGCCCUUUACAACAGAAAUGUAUCAAUCCCUGCAUUAAAGAAUAUUUUACUAUGUUUACUGGCCAUUUGGAUUGUCUCUUUUCUGAAGCAAAUUUUUCUACACACACACACACACACACACACACACACAAACACAAACAUGGCAAAAAUUUCCUUUUGUUUUGAUGCCAAAACUUGCCUUUUCAACCCCUAAUUUGUGUACUUUGAUAAACAGAAAUAUUUAAUUUUAUUUUUUUACUUUUAUUAUAGUUGACUUACAGUGUUAUGCCAAUUUCUGCUGUUUACAAAGUGCUUAAUUUUAAUAUAGCCCAAUUUAUCCCCAUUUAGUUGGUUAGUAUUUUUUAUGCCUUAUUUGCCUCAGAGUCAAGAAGAUGUUAUUUGUCUCCUAAAAGUUUCAUUGGUUCACCUUUCAUAUUUAAUUAUUUUCCUCAACUAAGGAUAAAAAGAAAAAGCCAGAUACACAACCUGCCUGGCACCAACACACCUAGAAUGGCAAUCUAGAAGCAGGAUGAAUAUCACAGUCAUGGGAGAUCUUCCCUAAAAAAUUAGGGGUCCGAGCCAUGCCUUAAGUUCUCCAGCCUAGGGACCUGCACCAGAAGACAAUCCUCCAUAAUGUCUGGCCUUGAAAAACAGUAGGGCUUACAUCUGGAUGAACUGGAGGGGGUAGGAAACUGAAACUGUUAAAGAGUGUGCACUAAUUCAUUUGCUCUAAGUCCCAGCACAGAGGCAAUGGUUUGAAAAAUGCCUGGGUCAUAAAUGAAGGUGGUUCAGUGACUAAUUUUAGUGUACGUGCCCAGGGGGCAGGAAUUUGUAGGAACUGUCUCUGAGUAUGGAAGUGCUGACAGGUGCCAGAGGUUUUUGCUCACCUUCUACAAAGCUGGCCUGGCACAGGGAGGUGCCAUUCUGACUCUCCCAAUCUACCUUACUGCCACUGUAUGCAGUGGUUUAAAAACCCCU